GUCCAGCAGAAGGGUCUGUGUUUUGCCCGGGGUCCUGAGAGCGUGCUGGGGAUAGCAGGGGUGGAGUGCAGGUGUGCCCAUGGGCGCCCCGGGUCCAGGGCCGCGGAGCCGCUCUCGGGCGGGAGACCUUGCCCCAGGGGCACGUCAGCGGUCCUGAGGUGAGGCUCCUGCAGAGCACUCUGGGCCGCGUGUGUCUCUCCCUGCGUGGGCAGGCAGUGUCGGUGGCCGGAGCGAGGGUGUUUUCCCAUCGGGGUGAGAGGGAGAGCCCCAGGGUGGGCCUGGGGGCGGAAUCGGACUCGGGGUUGGGUGGACUCUUCUGAAGCUGGGAGGGGUGCGGGUGGGCAGGGCCUUAGGGAGCCUGAGGGAGGCGCGGUUCCUGGGGGAAGGGUGUGGCGAGGCGGCGGCAGCCCGCGUGCGCUGUGCGCCCCAGCGAAGGGGCAGUGCUGGCCACUCGUGUGGCCCUUUGGCUGGCACCCAGUGAGAGGGGGGCGGCCAGGGACAGGUGGCAGCCAGGCUGCCCACAGGCCCUGGGCGGUGGGGGGCCCGGCCCCUGUGCCUUGGGCAGCCUGGCCCCUUGCUGAGGCGUGCUUGCGCGUGUCCGUUGUCGCCCUCACCCAGCUGCUGCGGCGGAGAAACGGAGGCCAGCGCGGGGAGCGGAAGCCGGAGCCUGUCGGGAGCGACCCCGGAAAGGCCAGUCCCUCCUGCCGGAGGGAGGCGUGUUGGCGUGCGGCCGGUGGCGGGAUCGAUGGCCACCUGGUAGGCGAUGCUGCUGCGGCGGAGAGACGGAGGCCAGCGCGGGGAGCGGAAGCCGGAGCCUGUCGGGAGCGACCCCGGGAAGGCCAGUCCCUCCUGCCGGUGGGAGGCGUGUUGGCGUGCGGCCGGUGGCGGGAUCGAUGGCCACCUGGUAGGCGAUGGUAAGCGGCAGUGGCCUGCGCCAAGGUAGCCCCCGGGGGCGGUGUGUGGCGCCGGACCCGCACCCUCUGCUCCCGGGGGUGGAGCUGACCUGCUUGCCCGCGGUUGGGCUCGGGAGCCUGCGGGCCGCGGCCAGGAGGGAGCUGGCUGGCCGUCCCGGCGGUGGGGGCUGUGGCGGUGGCGUCCCGCGGGUGUGCCCGUGCUCGGAUCGAUGAUGACACCCACAAACGCAUUCCUUGGAAAAUCUGAACAAAAUGAGUGAGAACUCACUACCGUCUCCUCAUCGCAAACUGAGGUCCGGCACGUGGCUCCCACAGGGGCCGUCGGGGGAGGGUCCCGUUGCCUUGGCUCCCUUGGGUGCGUGCAGCCUGGGGCGCAGGUGGGGCAGGCAGGCCUCCGGUGGCCCGGGGGCCCCGGUGCCCGGCGGG
Molecule: long non-coding RNA, 1340 nt
Filed under: Sus scrofa (pig)
Lineage: Eukaryota; Metazoa; Chordata; Mammalia; Artiodactyla; Suidae
Description: lncRNA (ENSSSCG00070012850.1)
Rfam family: Small nucleolar RNA SNORD116 (bases 1118-1211)
Source: RNAcentral